AGCAACAUUCAGUGGGGAAAAUAAAUAGAAUAAAUGAAUGUAUUAAUGCUAUGAAAACACGUUGUCACAAUACAGACAUUGAAAAAUCUCCUACCUUUUCCCUUUUCAUACAUCCGUGGGAAUAAUGGUCUCCAUCUUGUGAUUCGGUAUCCAUCUGUUAUAAUAUAUGAAUGGGACGUACAAGGGUUGGAUUUAGUUUAUUGUUAUAAUCAUUCCUAUUGGUGUUUGUGUCUGGUUUGACACCAUGAAGAUAAACGAGAACACUGGAGGGACACAAAGUUGUGUUGGUUCCUUACAAUGUAAACCACGUGGCCAGGUAUCAUGAAUGGAUGAAGUGUCCAGAGCUGCAGCAUCCCAGUAUAGAAGAGGAGCAGUGCACAGAUCCCAGUAUAGAAGAGGAGCAGUGCAUGGUGGGAGAUGUCAGCAUUAUCCUGACGGACCCAACAGACCUCUCCUCGGCUGAGCUGAAGAUCAUGAUAGCAGGUUCUGAUCCUCCAAAUGGCCAGAAACCAGGCAUCCAUGGCUCUGGAAUUCUUCCUUGAUGCUGCAAAGAAACGUGACUCCAUCCAGCCUGUCUUGAAGCCAAGAUGACCUGGACACAACUGGGAAGACUUAUUGCUGUCAACCCUCAUGAAAGCCUUGUGCAGAACAAGACAUUUUUCCAAUGUGUGGCCCCUACAAAUCGGGCUGUUUCA
Molecule: long non-coding RNA, 695 nt
Organism: Monopterus albus (swamp eel)
Lineage: Eukaryota; Metazoa; Chordata; Actinopteri; Synbranchiformes; Synbranchidae
Exons: 4
Source: RefSeq, a predicted model, not a curated record